UACGAAGGGGGCUAGCGUUGCUCGGAAUCACUGGGCGUAAAGCGCACGUAGGCGGAUCUUUAAGUCAGGGGUGAAAUCCUGGAGCUCAACUCCAGAACUGCCUUUGAUACUGAGGAUCUCGAGUCCGGGAGAGGUGAGUGGAACUGCGAGUGUAGAGGUGAAAUUCGUAGAUAUUCGCAAGAACACCAGUGGCGAAGGCGGCUCACUGGCCCGGUACUGACGCUGAGGCACGAAAGCGUGGGGAGCAAACAGG
RNAcentral lists this ribosomal RNA (253 nucleotides) under uncultured bacterium. RNAcentral's name for it is "partial 16S ribosomal RNA". It matches the Rfam family "Bacterial small subunit ribosomal RNA", at positions 524 to 776 of the family's 1533-position model. The record is from RNAcentral.